Molecule: small nucleolar RNA, 108 nt
Organism: Vicia villosa (hairy vetch)
Lineage: Eukaryota; Viridiplantae; Streptophyta; Magnoliopsida; Fabales; Fabaceae
Source: RefSeq, a predicted model, not a curated record
AGCCCAUGGUGUGAAUACAAACUAAUCAUUUCCUUUAAUCGUUCCCAAGCUUCGAAAAACGAUUCACCAUAUAUUCGCUUGAAGCAAGUUAUCUAGUUCCUUAAUUGU